Myotis daubentonii (Daubenton's bat) is the source of this 662-nucleotide long non-coding RNA. RefSeq lists it as uncharacterized. Lineage: Eukaryota; Metazoa; Chordata; Mammalia; Chiroptera; Vespertilionidae. The record is from RefSeq and is a predicted model, not a curated record.
UCCGGAAUCUUGUUCUAGUUAAAACGAAACCGGAGCUUUCACAGUAAGAUUUAAAGGAAAUCUGGAAACGCUGACGUACAGGCACACUCCUCAUCCUGCAGGUGUGCCCCGCGGGACCCUCCCCCCACAGGCGGGAUCCCCUGCUUCUCCGUGAAACCUCCCGAACGGGAGGAGCGCCCGCUGUUUGAGCAGCUGGCACCGGGAGGAACAAGACAGGCAAGUCCUCGCUUCCCGGACCCAGUGUAGAGAGGACAGAGAAGCGAAAGGAACAGCCCCGAGGGAGCACUGACGUCCUCCUUUGGAGACUGUGCCUCUGUCCUCUCUCAUCACGGCCUUUCUUCCCCGAGGCCGGAGCCCAGGAGGAGCUGCAGGGCCCCUGCUGAGGAAUUUCCCACCGUGCCAGGUGCCGGGUGCCGGGUGCCGGGUGCCAGGAUGAGCUGGCCGAGGAGCUUACCCGUGGAGGAUUCGGGUCACAGGAUGACCUUCAAUUUAUCAGGGCCGAGCAGGGAGCCGACAAAGGGUGAGAUGAGACUUAGCAUCAGAAUGGAGUCGCAGGUGGUGGCUCCCAGGACCUCCUCCUGACUCCAGGGCACAAGGAAAUGGUUCCUAAGGAAGUCUCUAUCUUCACAGGGUAGAAAGUACUUCGCAAUGUAUCGCAUAAA